This 484-nucleotide ribosomal RNA is filed under the name uncultured bacterium. RNAcentral describes it as "partial 16S ribosomal RNA". It matches the Rfam family "Bacterial small subunit ribosomal RNA", at positions 30 to 507 of the family's 1533-position model. The record is from RNAcentral.
AUUGAACGCUGGCGGCAGGCCUAACACAUGCAAGUCGAGCGGAUGAAGGGAGCUUGCUCCUGGAUUCAGCGGCGGACGGGUGAGUAAUGCCUAGGAAUCUGCCUGGUAGUGGGGGAUAACGUCCGGAAACGGGCGCUAAUACCGCAUACGUCCUGAGGGAGAAAGUGGGGGAUCUUCGGACCUCACGCUAUCAGAUGAGCCUAGGUCGGAUUAGCUAGUUGGUGGGGUAAAGGCCUACCAAGGCGACGAUCCGUAACUGGUCUGGGAGGAUGAUCAGUCACACUGGAACUGAGACACGGUCCAGACUCCUACGGGAGGCAGCAGUGGGGAAUAUUGGACCAUGGGCGAAAGCCUGAUCCAGCCACGCCGCGUGUGUGAAGAAGGUCUUCGGAUUGUAAAGCACUUUAAGUUGGGAGGAAGGGCAGUAAGUUAAUACCUUGCUGUUUUGACGUUACCAACAGAAUAAGCACCGGCUAACUUCGUG